UCUGCUGGUGACCUUACAGUGAAGAAGUGUAGUUCCCAGUGGUUGGUUAUCUUCGUGUAUUGUCUGUUGGCUUAGGGCCAGAACUGUAUGGCUAAUGCAAUCAGUAUUGGUUCGGCGUGCUCCGCGUUAAGACGUCGCCUUUGACUUCCUGUCUGGUGUGGGCGCUGUGAGAAGUAUUUGAUCAGCGUAGUAGUGAUCUCUCUACCUGUGCAUCCAGGAUUAUUUCAAAAGCAACACAACAUUAGUGAACGUUUCCUGUUUUUAAAUCGAGUUAAGUGUCUAUAAACACCUUGAGGCUAACAGACGCACUUCACAGUUCUGCAGAGUUACCAUGGAAACAACUGUUAUGAUCUGCCUGCAUUGCAGAGGGACGUUUGUCUUUGGAGGCUACAGCGUGAGGUUGUCCCAUUUCAUUUUUAAAUGAUGAACAAUGCCUCUGUCCAUCAUCCGUAUACGAACACCACCUCACUCACUGGACCGAGAGCCACAGUAGAUGAAGAAUCCGACGUUUUUCGCCGCACUGUGCUUCUAGAAUGAGUUGUGUUGUUGCUACGUUCAAUGCAGCAUUGUCAGGGUGAUAAGAUCAAGGAGGAUGAGAUGGGCAAAGCAUGUAGCUCGAAUUGGGGCGACGAUAAAUGUAUAUAUAUUUUGGUUCUAAAGUCUUGGGAACAGACCUUGGCGGGUAUAGGCGUAGAGUAUUAAAAUGGGGUUUGGCGAAUGGAUUGGAUUCAUGUGGCCUGUGAAAUUUGAAAAGGAUGGAGCGAGUCUGCCCAGGAACAAAUGGAAGUCCGAGUUUCCACAACAGGUCGUAUAAUGGGACAAAACAAAGCGUGCGGGAAAUCGAGAAACCCUGUGUUAUCACUCGGGGAUUCAGUCCAUAACUUCCACCGGUUUCCUUUGUAGUGGAAUGGAAUGUGUCCCUUUUUCAAGUGAUGUGUUCAUGCGGUAAAUAUAAAAAGAAAUGUUUGUCACAAAGUUCACGACGGAAAUCGAGACGGAAGGUAGAAAAAUCUUACAUAGUCAUAUACCAUUUAUAAGGAUUAAAGGAAAACUUAUCUACGCAAGAACAGUGAAAUAUUGAUCAUUUGCUGUAUUUAGUGAAGUAACAUUACAAAACAGAAGAAAAAUGCUUAUCAGGACAUCUAUACCAGUGGUUUUCAACCUGGGGUACGCGUACCCCCGGGGGUAUGCGAAGACAU
Long non-coding RNA from Zootermopsis nevadensis, 1199 nucleotides. RefSeq lists it as uncharacterized. The record is from RefSeq and is a predicted model, not a curated record. NCBI's taxonomy places the organism in Eukaryota, Metazoa, Arthropoda, Insecta, Blattodea, Termopsidae.